GGCAGGGUGUGCAGUAAACAAGGGCUAACCAGAUGGUACCCUUUCCUUCUGACAAUGCUGUGAGCUCGACAAAAAUAGGAAGGCUAACUCCGGAUCCUUUAAACUUGAAUAUUCUUAUGCUGGGAGGCAUCAGCAUUGGGCCGGAGCGGUGAAUCACUUGAUAGGAAUGAACGACAUUUCCUUCUUCAUCCAGCGGCUGUCAAACCGGACUGCAAGUGUAAAACAAAUGGGUGUUCUCUCGCGUCAGGGAGGAAUGCACCCUGUGCAGAGGGCCCAGUACAGGCCAGUGCAUCUCUUAUGUCCUCAAAGGAACAUCUAAGCCCCUGACCCAGCAAAAGCAUUUAAACAUGUGCUGAUCUUUUUAAGUAUGAGACUAGCCCCAUUAAUUUUGCUCCUGUCAAGAUAUAUGGAGACCCAAUCUGCCUUUAGGAAGGGAUCCUGGUUAGAGAAAGCAGCUACAGCUAAGCCCGCAAACAGGCCUCCGUGGUGCCCGAAAUCCAGCCUGCCCUACCUAAUCGAACUUGGGGUUGUGCCCACUUCACGGUGCACAGAGGCUAGUAGCUAACUAGUGUGCUGCAGGGCAAUAUAUUGCUAUAAGGUUUGUGUGCGUGUGAGAAAGAGAGAGAGGAAUUGAGGACCCACUCAUUGCAUGCAUAUUCAGUGGCUAGGAAUAAUAUGGUGACUGCCUGGGCGCAUUGAGGGGCCCUGCGUGGUUGUAUCAUGGGGUGUCAUAUUUAUACGAAUAGGAACUAUUCCCAUUUUCACCCUUACAGAAUCAGUGACUUGUCUUUUGAAUCUCUCAUUUACUUUGGUUCACAUUAGUCACUGUCACAGCAGAGCCUGUAUUAAAAAUAACAAGUGCACUCAAUCAGUCCCCAAGCCCCAAACAUCCCCAAGUAAAUCCGGUACAACUCACCGUUAUGUGAGGAGCCACUUAAUAAGAUGUUAUAAUGCAGCUAUCAGUUUUUUCUCAACUCAGGUGCAUAUAGAGGGAAUGCAUCUGAGUGAGCAACUACACUCGGGGCUAAACUGUGCCUGUGGUAGGGUGUAAAAAAAGCACCACCUCCGCUUGGGAGACGCUUUAUUCAAAAGGCACUGCACUGCCUCCUUCUUGAAGGUAAAUAAUUUCCAGCUGGUCAGAAAGAUUGCAAAGAACUUAACAAUUCCAGUUCAUCCAAAAUGCAACAUUUAAGAGGAAAUGUGCAUAUCUCAAUGACCUUUCAUUUAGAAAGAAGCUGCCAGGGUUUGGGCAAUAAGUCAUCUGUAGAAGAUGCAUCUAAAUAGCUCUUACCCAAACCAGGUCUUUCAGAAACAUCAGCUCCAAAACUCACAAUUUUCAAAAUACCGGUAAUUAUGGGCAGCUUCCAAGAUCUCAGAGUGGUCCGUGUGCAUUUUUCAAUUACUUAUUGUCCAGUGCUUUGAAAAUGUCUAUUAUAAUGUAUCAGUAACAGAUCAAGUAGCUCCUUAGACUGCAAGUUCACAAGGCCCCAUGCUUGUCCUUGAAAUUUGUUGCCUGUAGCAGGCACCCACAGUAAUAACAGCAAAAUAAAGGUCUCAUCUUUGCAUAGAAAGAGACAGAGGAAUGGGAAAAGGAAAACUCUUUAAUCAGAAAGAUGUCAUCCAGGAAACAGCAUGUCACCAGUUUUGGCGCGGAUAUGGUUCUUUUUGUAACGCACCAUUUUAAUUACGUAUAAGCUGUCUUAUUACUUUAGUCAAUUUGUCCUGGAUUGGGAAAGCUUCCCCUUGACAAUGUCAUAGGUCUUGAAGAUGUCACUUUUAAUUUCUCUGUGGCUCAGCUCACUAACUGCAACAAUACUUCAGCUGCCUAGUUAGUCUGUAGGCUCCUCAAGGCAGGGACUGCCUUUUACACAGCACCUGGUGCAAGGAAGUCCUGAUGAGCGGGAGCCUCUGUAUGCUGCUGUAACACAAAAUAUCAUCAUAAAGCAAGGUCUGAUUGUCUCAAGGUAGGAAGGGGCUCCCACAACAGUCAAUGACUGGUAGGAUGUGGUGAAAGGAUUGGAGUUAAAGAAGAAAAUGCAGCUCACUGGCAUGGCACAUAUUUUUCCAAUAUAAAAGCAAAUGGGGGAAUCCUUAAAUAAAUUGACUCUAUAAAAACGUCUCUUUGCAUUACUGCCUCAACCUUUUCAGGGGGAAAACCACAAAGGUUUUGUUUUCAUGGCUCCCGAAUAAAAAUAUCAUUGCUGCUUCAUAAUUUUACAGAACCAACAAACAGUCCAUAUCUAUUUAAAAUACGCAGGCGGCACAAUGUACGGGCCCCCUUUGGUAACCACCAACCGACCAACUGCAAGAGCAGCUGCCACAUAAUUACAAGCCCUCGUCACGAGUGCGGGGAAACAAGUUGUGGCAUUUAGGAAAGGUCUGCAAAAAUAGGUGUCAGACCUUAACUAAUAGUGAUUGUCCUUCCAUUCUGCUGUAAUUUACAUUUAAUUCACACGUUUCAUUUCCAUUUAAAAUAUGAUUACAGUGUUUUGAAGCACAUCUCACCUGUCCCCUCCUAUUACAGCUGGAUGAAGCUAACAAAAAGUAGCAGGAGCUAGGCAGACUACCCAAGAUCUUGGCUGUCGGAUCGUAAACGCAAGGUACCUUUCCCAGAUUGGGAGACGGGGGACGAGAACGCUUUAAAGCAUCGCAAGAGGGGAGUGAAAGACCAGAGGUGUCCUCGUAAGCUUCCCUUGCUCAUGUCCCAAUGAUAGGAUUUGUGACAUUUUCUUAUCGACUGCCCUCACUAAUAAGAGUAUUUGUACUGAUGUAGCAAUAAGAAUAUUUCAAACCCUACCAGGAGCAAGCAUGCUAUGUGAAUGCAGCUUCGCCCAGUCGGCAUCUUAGGCUGGGCAUCUCUUCUGGAGAUUUGCACCAAUGGAGCGGUCUCAUUUUUGCUGCCCUCAAUGCUUAGAGAUCCCCUUAAAAGGAAUAAAGCUAGUUUCGGGUUUUUUUGUUUUUACUUUUUAGGUUAAGUGACACAGGAAUAACAAGUACAAGAGAUAUCAGUCUAAGCUGAGACCUGAGGGUUCUGGAUUAUCUCCUCUGGGGCUGGGCAGUGCCAUCUUUUACAAGGUCCGCCUCCAUCCCCAAAAAUGGGGUUCAGCAUUUGAAGCCUUUUAAGGCCUGGCUGACAGGCUCUGUCUACACUGCAAACAAAAGUGAGAUUGCCACAGGCUUGGAUGUACCCAGGCUAACUUGAACCUUGCUAGCUCAGGGAACAAUGCGCUGAAGACAUAGAUGGCAUGUACAAGCUUGUCAUCGACUUGGGGACGUAACCAGAUGGCUGACAUUCAUACUGCAUUGUCAAUCAAGCUAGCUACAGCUAACUCGGGUAUAUCUACAAAUAGUGCUGUUGUACUUCCCAACCCCAGCGUUAGGUGCAGCCUAAGAGUAAAGUGACUUCUGAAAAGGAGAUUCAGGCAACCAACGGCCAAGGCUACUGGCAGCCACAGCAGUGAUUAUAGGGUUUGGACUCUAAGGAGGAGCCAUUCGCUGAAGCAAGAUUCAGGGACUUGGAAAUGAUCUGGUAAGCCUUUUAUUUGGAGGCAGCUGGUUAAAACCCAGGGCUGCUUGCUUGUAGUCAGCCUAGUCCUCUGUAGCCUAUGUUAUUAUCACAUUUAGCAUGUUUCUUGAGACAUCAGACAUUAGGCUUUGGCUGGGAACUAAUACUCCAUAAUUCACAUACUGGAGGUUGCUCUUUGCAAGUUGCAGCAAUUUGCACCAAUCAGUUUAAUUUUUGUUCCAACUGUACUUCCCCUUCCUAAUGGUAAGUAAUAGCUCCUAAUUGUAUACACCGUUAUCUGGCUGCUUGGGCAUCCAAAAUGAACUUUCUUUGAAGCUGCAUUUCCAUGAGUUGUUCAAAAGUAGGGAGUAAAGGGGAAUAAACAGACCGAGCGUCUGCGUUUCAUUUACCGCCCCAUUUCCACUUCAGUAGCAUCAGUAAUGACAGAACACCUUGGAAGGAGAUUUCCCCUUUAUUACUGCAAUAGCACCCAGAUGCUCCAGUGACAUCAGGACCCAACUGAGCUAUGCACUUAACACGGACCGCAAGAAGCAGCAGCGUUGGCCAGACUGAGCUUCCGAUGUGAGGCUGACACCAUUGCUAAACACAGGUGCUCACAAAUGUUUAAGAUGGGCUUAAAAUCAUGGAGGUUUAAAAAAACCCAAACCAGUAAUUUUUUGGUGUUCCAGAUUUUUUUCCAUAACUUUUCUUUCUCUUUGUGCUUCCCAGCUUAUCCACAGAAGCUAGAAAUUCACUUGAAAAAUAAAAUGGAGGCCAAGAUGCUCCCAUAAAUACCAUGACUCUAGCACUAUAGUUUUAAGAAAGACCAGGAGAUUUGGUGGGGGCUAUUUCAGUUGCCCUGCAGGUGUCUUGUCUCUGAGGAGCACCCAAGAGGUAGUCUCAAGUGGCUUGUUAGGUGUAUCGUCUUCACAUGCAAAAGCUGUUGUCAUGAUGUAAAAGAAGUAAGCACAGCUGGAGAGUUCAAGGGUUCAUUGGACCUCACAUGGAAGCACAGGGUUCGGUGCAUGGGAAUUGUAACAAAAUGCUGCUGAAGCAUUGCAUCCAGACACAGGCCCUAGUCCUGUACUAUGAGACAGGUGGAAAGUUCACACCCGGAGAAUGGAGUUCAAUAUAAGUUGUCCUUGCCUUAAUAUGGGAAACAGCAGCCUAGGAGGAACCCAGCUUGGGCAAUGGUUUAUCCAGAGAGCAUCCUGAACUCAGAGUACAACUGAGAAACUAGGUCGCCUUUCUCAUAGGAAGAAACCCAUUUAUAGGAGGUACAGCUUUCUGCUUGAUUUCGUUUGAAGGACCCCAUUGACCUACUACACAUGAUGGUGGCUUGAUUGUGUCAUUGCACAGCUGCUAGGAAGGCAAGUGUCAAUUGGGUUUCAGUCCCAGCUCACAGAGAUCUCUUCCCCACUGCACACUUACGUGAUCUGCUUUCAACACCUCUUUCUCCCUUGGCAGGUAAGAUGCUCAGAGAGAGAUGGUGAUUUUUCAUGGGAAGAUUCCAGUGAUUAGUGUUCACUGUCUAAAUCUCAGCAUCAAUUUUAAAACCACUGGAGCAUCCAUUUCAUAGCUAUGGCUGCAUUUUCUUCAACAUGGCAGCCGGCUUCUGCAAAUCCAGGUGCACAGUCAUUUGUUCUGAUUAGGCAAAGAGUUUGAAAUCUUUAAUUUGCCUCUCUUAUUUUCCCCUGUUAAUUUAAUGUAAAGGCUCUGCUUGUAGGGAAGGGGGUACAUACAUUAUCUAUGUAUUUGGGAUGAAAUAGGUCUCUGGGCAGAGUCCUGCAAAAGCACCGAGUAUGGUGACAAAAUAGAGUUUCAGUGGGGUUCGAUUUGACUCCAUACCAUAAGAUUUCAAGAUUUCUCUAAGGAGGUGACUGCCAAAUUUCUCCUUCAAGGUGGACAGCUGGUUAACUCCUUUCAAUGCUGGAGCAAAUAAAAGCCUAUUCAUACUUUAGCUCUCCCAGUUAUUUGGAGGAAUAAGCAGCUAAUGCCCCCAACUGGAACGCUUCCAUGCUUGGGUCAUCAGCAUGUAUCAAGCAUGCCCUAUGUAAUGUGACAGUCGCUUCCUUGUAUUUGCAACUCAGACCAAGUGCCUAAUGCUGUACACAUGCAGCUUCUCCGUGCCUGACAGGCGUACAAGGCUGACUUGCGUGAGGGCCUAUGUUUAGGACCAUGCUUUGGAGCGCAUCUCUUCUCUAAUCCGUUGCAGACUUCCUCAUCUCUUUUUUAGAACAAUGAAGCAAUAGUGCAAACUUCAGGCUGCCUUGUCAUAGCAUCUGUUCGUCUCAGCUUUGACAUAUCCAGUGCUAUGACUGUCUUUGGCCAACUCUGUUACACACUAGAACUAAAAGCCUAAAGCUGAGCUGGCGGGUUGCUGCUAUCCAUCAGCGGCACAGUUGCCCUUCGACAAAAACUGCAGGGAUCCCUACCAGAUCAUGCCUAUAUCCUGGGCCAAAGCAUCCAGUCUCAGCUGUUCCCAAAUGGCUUCCGAUACCCAAAGCAUCCAGCUGUGCAAAUACUUUGAAGAGGGCUCCAGUUCAUGUUUUCCUUGUUGGCCCACAAAAAGCUUCUGGAAAACAAGACCUUAGCAACCCUAUAUUACCUAAUGCAACACUGAAAUGAGACAGAGCUGUGGGAGGAGACCUGGCUUGGAAGGAGGCCUGUGGCCAGCAGCUGUCUUACUGCUGUGGUUUAGCAAUCCUUUCCUGGCAGGAGGGUUGCACAGGGUGAAAGGACAGAAUUUGGUCUGAAGACCACAAAUCCAAGCCCAAGCUUGGCCUGAAAAAUGCAGAUGUGUUACCAAUUUCCCUUAUGUGAAUGUCAAGAAGAGUGACUGUCGAGCCAUUUUAAAGGAAAGCCUCAUGUAUGGAAAGACACUGACCAUUUAGGCCCAGAGCACAAUAUACCUGAUGACUCACUGUACGGUAAAGACUUUACUGGCACGAUGCUGAUAUGGUGCGUUAGUUAUUUGUGGAGCAUGCAGAGAGGGGGAGCAGCUAUAAUUAUUAAUAUUUGUAUUGCAAUAAUACCUUAAGCUCCACCAUGGACUUGGAUCCUGUUACACUAGGCACUAUACAAACAGAGGAAAGAUAUAGCUCCCUACCCAAAAGACUAGCUCAAUGGGAACAAUGGUUUCUACAGAAUUGAAGUACAUCACUUGCAGGUCCAGAGAAAUAGAGACAUCUUGAGAUCCUUCUUUCUGUCUUUCUACGGUCCUGUAUCACUGUACAGCUCAAUGCUGCUCUUGAUUGCCAGGGCAUCAGGGAGUCCCAGUUCUGACUCUGACACUUUUGCUGCAGCCUUCACCAUGUUACUUAACUUUGCUGUGCUGAAUGAUCCCCAGCUGUGAAGUGGGAAUGAGGAGACUUGUGUACCUUGUGGAACGGCUCUGGGCCUGAAGCGGUUAAUAGUUGUAAAGUCCUUUGAAGAAGAAGAACAGCAUGGGUGAAAUUCCUCUCUCAAGACUUGCUCUGAGCACGAAUGCAGGACUUUGAUUCUGCCUAGAGCUUGUGUGGGUGCCUCCACACAGGGAUGGAGUCCAUUAUAUUAGCUGCUAUUGUAGCUGCGGCUUUGCUUUCACUGAAGCUGGGUUCCCAUAACACUGAGGAAAAGAGCAAAGGUCGUGAAUCCCCCAAAUCACCCACUGCCUAUCCAAGCUUCUCCUCUGGCUCUAACACACUCUCUGUCUUAAAGCCACCCCCUGCUGUCAGGAUCUGCUUCUCAUAUUAGAUAACCAGGCUUACCUCGAUAUAGAUAAGACAAAGCCUUCCAGACCACAGUCUGCUCGACUACAAGGAAUGCGGAAAUAAUGAACGAUGAAGGCUGGCCUAAUUUUACCUAUGACGAUGCUGGAGUUGUUAAGGGCUUGUGUAUGCUGACUGCAGCCUUCAAAGUAACGGCACCAACGGGGACCCCAAGACACAUUGGAGAAGCCACUGUUUGCUCAGCGGUGCUGGAAACCAGCUGAUGCUGUGUGGGGGCAAAAUGCGUCUGAUAGCUGUUGAGGUGCGCAGGCAUCAGGGGGUGGUAGCUGUGCCGCUAGCCAAGUCGGGGGGUUUUGCUGGCUUCACAUGGGGCAAUUCCCCAGAGUGGACAAGGUUCGGGCCAGGUUCACUGGCUCUUCAUCAUCCUCAUGACUCAGGAAAAAAAUAAGUGGUAUUGCCAAUCCCCUGAAGCUCUUUAGAGGGAGGGUUUUUUAGACACAGAAAGCCUCAUCUAGAAAAUAAAUCAGAAAUACUCUCCCAUCACCACCACUGUCCCCCUGUACUUCACAGCCCCAGCACCCACCCACAAGGAGCUGGGAAGGCAGGGGCACUCUGAUUAAUAUCUGCUACGUGUAGGGGAAAACAACAACCCUGUAAACAGUAUUAUUAACCCAUGGGCUGGCGAUAAAUCAGCGUGAGAAGGUGACCUCAGCAAUGCUGGAGUAAUCCUGUGUGUCAGGGUAAAUUUAUGAGGCCAAUUUUAUUGGCCUGUAUGACCCAGGCUCCUUGGAGAUGUUUCAGUAACAAAUCCAAUCCAUAUCAUUUAUUAGCUUUGUACAGUGUCAGCCAUAAGCAUAGUAGAGAUCCCAUUAAAACAUAUUGCUCCCUCUGCAAAGGAUGGGUACAAAUAAGCUAUUGGAUAAUUGUCAGCUACGAGGAGCUCCCAAUUAAGAAAUGGCUCAUUGUGGAUUUGCUCUCAAAUCCAUAAACUAGCUGGGGUUAGGAUUGUGGUGGGUUUUUUCUCGCCCCCUCACUCCACUUGACGACCUGCUUGAUGGCACUUGCAACUGUCCUGGAGGAAAGGAGAAGAGAUUGCCUAAUAUAAGUAAAUGAAACAGCCUGGCUUUUGGGGACAGGCUGCAGCUGGUGCUGCACUAUGCAUAAGGUGGGUCCUGGGAAGGCUCAGCUGCCUGAGCUCAUCACCCACAGAAGUCAGUGCAUUUCAGCUCCAUUGGCUUCUGCUUUUAUCCCAGGUAAGUCAGUAACCACUCCAGCUUUGGCAUGCUAACUAGAUGGCACUUCAAGCAGUUCAUUUAGGACACAAAGUUCUUCCCUUUCUUGGCCUUUUUCAGUGACAUGGUAAGGAUCUACAGCUAUAGGGCCUGAUGCACUAUUGCCCGGCGUUUUGCAACCACUGCGCCACUUGCAAUGCAGGCAGGGCCGGUCCAACCAUUAGGCGAACUAGGCCUAGGUCACCAAAACUUAUAUGCAGAACAAAAAAAAUAACAGGAUCAUUAUAAAUAACAGCCCUGGCUGGCUAUGGCUCUACCUUGGUCUAGGACCUUUGGUUCAGUAAGGAGAGAAAGACCUCUGAAAAGAUCUUAGAGGAAAGAUCACUCGCGACUCCUACCUUUUCAACCCUCAACCGGACUUAUGCCAAGAGCAUACUGCUGGCGACGCCAUCCUAAAAGAUGAACCCCUACUCCUACAGCUCGUGACACUGAUUUCUUACACCUUCAGUACAUGUGAAAGUUCAUUCAAGACUUCUUAUUUUCCUCUAUACUUGAAGUGGUGGGGGAGCCGCGGUACACAGUUUGCCUUACCCUUGGACCGGCCCUGAAUGCAGGGCAAUAUCAACAAGCCUUAUCAGCCCAGUUGUACUGCAGAAAGGAGAAUUAGGAUUUUUUUUUUUUCUUAAACAGAAACUCAGUAUUAUUUAUGGGAACUCCCCCUGCAGGACAGGAAACGGCUGGCAGGACAGGAGGCAUUUGCCGUCCCUAGGUUUUGAUAAAACGCUCUAUCUAGGAAAGGGACGGAUGCUCCUUGUGCAUGACACCCUCCCACCAAGGAGCAAUUGCACUUUCACGUGGGCACCUCCCGGAUUUGAUCUCUGCUUGCUAACCAGAGUCUGGUAGAAGCAGUUUAGGUCUGUUUGACUGUCCCUGUCAUCAUAAGGUUUACGGAUGGUUAAUUUAUUCUUUAUAGCACAGUCAUUGAUGGCUGUUAAAUCACAAAUGAGAGCCAAUAAAGGGUGAAUUGCAGCUGAAAUUACACUGUUUAUAUGACAGCAGAGUGCCGGCUAAAAGAUUCAUAUGCCGCUGAUGAAGUACGUUAUAAAUUUUAAUUACCAUAGUUUGUACAAAUGACAUGUUUGAAAUGCUAUUGAGUAAUGUGACCCUGAUAAUGAAACUAUAAAAUAAAUCAUUAACUUUCUGAAUGAGCUUUUUUAUUUCCAUGCUACAUGAAGUAAACUUUCCAAUUUAUUCCACUAUAGCCUUCUUAAAAAAAAAAAAAAGAAAGAAAGAAAAAAAAAGAAAUGUUACCAGCCACCUCCUUCACUGGAAGGGACACACUGGCACCCAGACUGGGACAGAGCUGGAAUGGAGUAUGUUGCAAUGGGCAGGAGGGAGAGCAGCCAAAGCACCAGAAGUACUAGCAGGGUCCCUCUUCUUAUUGUCAAAUGAGGAGUUCCUCCUCCAAAUACAUCUGGAUUAGCAGGGGGGAGUGCCAAGAUUGAGGCUGGAGACUGAGAAUAAAAUCUCCCCUCCCCCUCCUUCUAGAUACAGAAGGGAAGAAAAUCUUUAUUAGAGUUGGGAUGUAAUUAUAGCUCAGCCUUUGUCGUCAGUUUUGAAAUCCAAAUCAUUAAAGGCUCCCUGCGGGGCUCCCCUUGCAUCUUUUGAAGCAGGUGCCGAGGUGCCUCGUGGCCAAUCUUGCAAGAAGAGACCUGGAUAAUUCUUCUGGAUGUGACUGCCAAAGGUGAAGGAGUCAAGAGCUGCUGUGUGAGCCGGGCAGAGGAUUUCCUGGGAGCUUCCCUAGGUGAGAUGUUCCUACCAAGUGAGCCAUGCUCUGUGCUGCAAGAGGAAGAUGAAAACCUGACACACUCUCUGCCAGCCAGACCAGGAAGAAAGUUGCUUCCUGACCCCAACCCUGGUGAUCAGCUGCCCAGCCCCUUGAGACCCUGCUGGAGGUCCUGCUGUCUUAGGCACUGUACAAAUGCAUGGCGAUGGACUUCCCCAUCUCAAACGUAUCACAGGCUACUGGAUAAGACGAGCAACGGGCAGGACACAGAGAGGCCAGAUUUCAGCUCCAAGCAAUUGAUUGAAGUGUUCAGUCACCUGGACCGUAACUAAAGAACACAGGAUAUUUGUCACAGACAAGAAUGUAAUCACUUUGCACAUUGAGGGACAGGAUGAGAGAGAGCAAACUGCACAUGACAAAUACUGGUGACAUCGCUGAAUGCAGGACCGGAAGAUGCUUGGACACUGGAACGAUGAGGCAAGAUAAGCACAAGAAUAGGACAAAGCAAUAAUUGUGGACUGGAUGGCCGCAUCUCUUUCCCCUUAUUUCCUGUUGUGUUAUACUGGAACCUAGAGACCUCAGCCAUAAUCAGCCACCCAUUGUUGCUGGGGGCUACACAGACACCGCUUAGACAGCCUGAAAUCUAAGUAGACUAGGCAGAUAUAUGUCAAGGGGGAAAACAUCAGGUACAGGAGAGGAGAAAGUGAAUUGCCCAAGGUCAUGCAGAAGGUCAGUGGCAGAGCCACAGCUAGGGUCUCCUGUUUCCCAGGCCAGUGCUGUACAUCCUGGGCUGGGCUGUCUCCCUCAAAACUUAUCUCCCAUUGACUAUUUUUCCCCAUAGACCCAAAACUGUGAAGAAAAUGGGGCUGCAUCCUAUUCUUCCAUUUUUGUGCAGCUCAGACCUGCAGGUCUAACUGUAUUAACUAGCCAAUCAGAUUUCAUUAUGAGCUGAAGUAAUGCUUAUCAUUAAACCUGUAAUUUAUUUCUUCUUUAUUUCAUAAAAUGUGAAAUAUUACCAUUCUUCGGGUGCCCAGAGAGAAUGGGGAUGCUCCAUUAAGUUCAACACUGCUCCUCCAUAAGAUGCAGUAAUUAUAUGCAGCUUUUUUACUGCUAAGUUCCUACUUGCAGAUGCUAACAAAAGAAAUAAGCUUUUAAUCCAAACAUAAUUAAUAUGAAUUACCUCCACAGUACACCCUGGCUUUGCACCAUUAAACUUAAUUUUUGUUUUGCAUGAUAAUUGUGUUAUCAUUACCAUUUAUAGGAGAACUCGGGGACCUUCACUUUGUUUUCAGCCAAGACCAAAGGAACUGGAAAUGGAUAUCUAUGUGUUUGCAGCCUGAAAACUCAGGAGGGAAUUACUGGAUUUGUCCAGCCUUUGAUUUGUCUUCACAUUGCAUCAGCGAUGCAGAGUUUCUGCAACACCAUCUUCCUUUUUUUUCUCAUCGCCACUAAGUGUGGGGAGGUAGUGGUGUACUUGGACCAUUUCAGGACUCCAGUUUCAGAUGAACUUGGCCUGACUUGUGCUUACAUCUGAGCCACAUGAACUCUGCAGUUUUUAGCACAAGCCCAUGGCAUUCCCAAGGAGCUUGGCUUUGAUGGUGGGCUUGCUUAAAAGUAUUCCUUCAGUCCCCGGGAUUUCUUACAGUCCCAGCUCACUUUGUCCUACUCCCUACAAGAGGUCGCUGAACCUUGGAAGCAGGAUGGUGCUGGGGAAAGAAGCUCUAAAAGACAGCUUACCUUAGGCGGCCGCAGUACAUGCCAGUUUUUGCCUUUGUCUGCUUUAAUAAUGCAUUUUAGGACACUGCUACAGUUCAUGACUUCCCCAACAGGAGGUGCAGAACCAGCCGGUGCCUGAAGCGUGGAUGUGUGUGUGCAUCCAUGUAUGUGAAGGAAUGCUCAGAAGAAAACCCCUUCUGGAAAGGCACUUCAAAUACCAGGCCCACUGGGAGACAGCUGAGCCUAGGAAUCAUGCUUCCCCUAAUCCUGCUUACCAUAUCCCAGACAGACAGAGGUCUGGCCCAAAGCUCUUUAGUGUCUGAGGGCAUACAGUACGCAGGUAGUUGGACCCCUCUGAUAAAGCCCCCGUGAGCUAUUCAGUCAUACGUGCCAAGACUCUGACUCUCUGCUCAAGAGAUGGCAGGAGAUUAAGCAAGAAUGAAAACCCAUUUACUUUUUUAGGAAUGCAAGGAUCGGUGUGGGCAGCUGCCUCUGGGGGUCCCAGCAUGGGCAUGAACUAGAAAGAAUUUGGCCUCCACGAUAGCUAAUUCGAUAGCUAAUUUGUUUGUCUCGACCAUUCCUUGCCUGCCCAUGCCUCUGCACACUUUUCAUGAACACAAACACCCAUGUAUCCUAACUAGAUCUUCCUGUUCCUGCACUGGUCCUGCUGGCGUAGAGGGUAUGGGUUGAGGGUGACAAGUACUGGAGA
Molecule: long non-coding RNA, 12658 nt
Organism: Alligator mississippiensis (American alligator)
Lineage: Eukaryota; Metazoa; Chordata; Crocodylia; Alligatoridae
Exons: 5
Source: RefSeq, a predicted model, not a curated record